UACGUAGGUGGCGAGCGUUGUCCGGAAUGACUGGGCGUAAAGGGAGCGUAGGUGGCGAUUUAAGUUAGAUGUGAAAGCCCGUGGCUCAACCACGGAACUGCAUUUAAAACUGGAUUGCUAGAGUACAGGAGGGGUAAGCGGAAUUUCUAGUGUAGCGGUGAAAUGCGUAGAUAUCAGGAGGAACACCGGUGGCGAAGGCAGCAUACCGGCGCUCAACUGACGCUGAGGCACGAAAGUGCGGGUAUCGAACAGG
This 253-nucleotide ribosomal RNA is filed under the name uncultured bacterium. Its description in RNAcentral is "partial 16S ribosomal RNA". It matches the Rfam family "Bacterial small subunit ribosomal RNA", at positions 524 to 776 of the family's 1533-position model. The record is from RNAcentral.